CUGAAUGGUUUUUGAACAAGGGACCCAGCAUUCUCAUUUUGCGCUGGACCCCACAGAUUAUGUCGCCAUGCUGUGAGUAGGAGACCAUCAGGCAGAGAAGAAGGGGUACUUUGGAAGCAAAAGCGCCCUGAGUGCACCGAGGUGUGCUGGAGCUCGAAACGCAGCCUGCUCCGGGAGCAGUCAGCGGAGGCACAGAGUCUCCAGUGGAAAGUUGUGUCCAGGAAACUGGUGGAAGCUCAAAGCGGAAAGCAGUCAGAGGCCCCCCCCAACCUGACGCGGGGGUCUGGACCUUACACGGCGGGUGCCCAGGAGCCUUCCAAACUUUGUCAAUCCGGGAGUGGUGACAUCAGAGGUGUUGGUGCAUAAAGACUCAGGAAGUUUCCUGGCAGAAAUGUGAGACUUGAGAAACUGAACUGUGAAUGGUUCCCUUUAUGAACAGCCAAUGAUUGACAGAAUGACUUUUAAUAGCUAUUAUGAGUUGAGCCCUUCCUAUGGGCUCAGCCCUACACCCCGCACGUGGAAUGGAUGGUCUUGUUUAAACCCGGCAACAGCUUUAUGAGGUGGGUACAAAUGUC
This 575-nucleotide long non-coding RNA is filed under the name Equus asinus (donkey). Its description in RNAcentral is "lncRNA (ENSEASG00005038703.1)". The record is from RNAcentral. Lineage: Eukaryota; Metazoa; Chordata; Mammalia; Perissodactyla; Equidae.